CGCGCAGGCGGUCGAUCAAGUCGAGUGUGAAAGCCCCCGGCUCAACUGGGGAGGGUCAUUCGAUACUGAUCGACUCGAAGGCAGGAGAGGGUAGUGGAAUCCCGGUGUAGUGGUGAAAUGCGUAGAUAUCGGGAGGAACACCAGUGGCGAAGGCGACUACCUGGCCUGUUCUUGACGCUGAGGCGCGAAAGCUAGGGAGCAAACG
RNAcentral lists this ribosomal RNA (205 nucleotides) under uncultured bacterium. RNAcentral's name for it is "partial 16S ribosomal RNA". It matches the Rfam family "Bacterial small subunit ribosomal RNA", at positions 568 to 774 of the family's 1533-position model. The record is from RNAcentral.